This 400-nucleotide ribosomal RNA is filed under the name phytoplankton environmental sample. Its description in RNAcentral is "partial small subunit ribosomal RNA". It matches the Rfam family "Eukaryotic small subunit ribosomal RNA", at positions 587 to 965 of the family's 1831-position model. The record is from RNAcentral.
AGCUCCAAUAGCGUAUAUUAAAGUUGCUGCAGUUAAAAAGCUCGUAGUUGGAUUUGUGGCGCGGUCGUCCGGCGGGGCUUCCGGUUUCAUAGUAUCCCGGGGCCGUUUGUCUGGGUUCUUGGCCGCCCCAUUCUUCGGUUGCGUGUCGCUGGCAUUAGGUUGUCGGCUUCUUCGCGCCGAUCGUUUACUGUGAAAAAAUUAGAGUGUUCAAAGCAGGCUUAGGCCGUUGGAUACAUUAGCAUGGAAUAAUGAGAUAGGGCCACGGCGGUCUAUUUUGUUGGUUUCCGGAACUCGAGGUAAUGAUUAAUAGGGACGGACGGGGGCAUUUGUAUUGCGACGUUAGAGGUGAAAUUCUUAGAUCGUCGCAAGACAAACUACUGCGAAAGCAUUUGCCAAGAAU